GCACUCGUAGCGCAGCUGGAUAGAGUACUCGGCUACGAACCGAGCGGUCACAGGUUCGAAUCCUGUCGAGUGCACCA
This 77-nucleotide transfer RNA is filed under the name Pseudomonas simiae. RNAcentral's name for it is "tRNA-Arg (ACG) (tRNA-Arg-ACG-2-1)". It matches the Rfam family "tRNA". From Rfam's summary of the family: Transfer RNA (tRNA) molecules are approximately 80 nucleotides in length. Their secondary structure includes four short double-helical elements and three loops (D, anti-codon, and T loops). Lineage: Bacteria; Pseudomonadati; Pseudomonadota; Gammaproteobacteria; Pseudomonadales; Pseudomonadaceae. The record is from RNAcentral.